UACGUAGGGUCCGAGCGUUGUCCGGAAUUAUUGGGCGUAAAGGGCUCGUAGGCGGUUUGUUGCGUCGGGAGUGAAAAACUUACAGCUUAACUGUGAGCGUGCUUCCGAUACGGGGCAGACUUGAGGUAUUCAGGGGGAGAACGGAAUUCCUGGUGUAGCGGUGAAAUGCGCAGAUAUCAGGAGGAACACCGGUGGCGAAGGCGGUUCUCUGGGAAUAUCCUGACGCUGAGGAGCGAAAGUGUGGGGGAGCGAACAGG
This 257-nucleotide ribosomal RNA is filed under the name uncultured bacterium. Its description in RNAcentral is "partial 16S ribosomal RNA". It matches the Rfam family "Bacterial small subunit ribosomal RNA", at positions 524 to 776 of the family's 1533-position model. The record is from RNAcentral.